GCUGAUUAUGCUAAUUACAUUGUUGCUAAGUUUAUAGCACCUAGUUUCACAUACCAGCAAAAGAAAAAGUUCUUCUAUGAUUUCAGGCAUUACUUUUGGGAUGACCCACAUCUUUAUAAAGAAGGAGUAGAUGGUAUUAUUAGACGUUGUGUACCUGAGCAUGAACAGGAACAGAUCCUACGCAAGUGUCACUCCGAAGCUUAUGGAGGGCACCAUGUUGGAGACAGAACCGCACAUAAGGUACUACAAUCUGGUUUUUAUUGGCCUACUCUCUUCAAGGAUGCCUGUAAGUUUGUCUUAUCUUGUGAUGAAUGUCAAAGAAUUGGUAAUAUUAGUAGACAUCAAGAAAUGCCUAUGAAUUAUUCACUUGUUAUUGAACCAUUUGAUGUUUGGGGCUUUGACUAU
This 405-nucleotide ribosomal RNA is filed under the name Triticum aestivum (bread wheat). RNAcentral's name for it is "partial small subunit ribosomal RNA". The record is from RNAcentral. Lineage: Eukaryota; Viridiplantae; Streptophyta; Magnoliopsida; Poales; Poaceae.